GAUCCUGGCUCAGGAUGAACGCUGGCGGCGUGCCUAACACAUGCAAGUCGAACGAAGCAAUUAAAAUGAAGUUUCGGAUGGAUUUUAAUUGACUGAGUGGCGGACGGGUGAGUAACGCGUGGAUAACCUGCCUCACACUGGGGGAUAACAGUUAGAAAUGACUGCUAAUACCGCAUAAGCGCACAGUGCCGCAUGGUACGGUGUGAAAAAACUCCGGUGGUGUGAGAUGGAUCCGCGUCUGAUUAGCCAGUUGGCGGGGUAACGGCCCACCAAAGCGACGAUCAGUAGCCGACCUGAGAGGGUGACCGGCCACAUUGGGACUGAGACACGGCCCAAACUCCUACGGGAGGCAGCAGUGGGGAAUAUUGCACAAUGGGCGAAAGCCUGAUGCCAGCGACGCCGCGUGAGUGAAGAAGUAUUUCGGUAUGUAAAGCUCUAUCAGCAGGGAAGAAAAUGACGGUACCUGACUAAGAAGCCCCGGCUAACUACGUGCCAGCCGCUGC
Molecule: ribosomal RNA, 503 nt
Filed under: uncultured bacterium
Lineage: Bacteria
Description: bacterial SSU rRNA
Rfam family: Bacterial small subunit ribosomal RNA
Source: RNAcentral